CUCACUCACUCACUCACUCACUCACUCACAUAUAUAUAGUUACAGCAGGCCAAGGUAGGAGAGUCAGACACACACAAAUGCAACAUCACUCACACUUACUUCCGUAAAAGUUAUUUCAUGUGAUGUUGUGGCCAUCGAGUCCCUGUGUCUUGUCGAGGACAACCCGCAUCCCUUGGUUUUUCUCAGGGGCUCCUUCAUCUGGCUUCCCCGUAUACACUUGCAAGUUCCGAGCCCAGGGUUGUAAAACAGGGGAGGCUGUUCCACCGACUUGUCCCACACUGACCUGAUUGCAGCUAGCUUGUCUCUCUGCCGCCGAGCGGGUCUGGUGUCUCGGUUAUCGAUGCAGAUAAUCCUGGAAAUAAUGUGGAAGUUUUCCAGAGACAUUAUUGCACUGAAAGGUUCUCUGCCAGUUUCUGCAUCCCACAGGGAAUCUGUGGAUUCCCCAUUGGAUCUGAACACACCAGCAAGGAUAAGAAUCCCAAAGUAUGCAUUUAAAUGAGUUUGGUCAAUCUCCUUCCAUCUCUCUCCAAAAACACGCCUUCCCUCCAAAUUAGUGCAGUCCAGAAUGAUUUUCUGGAUGGUGUCUGGGAUGAACAGUUCAAAAUUAGACUUUAUGUCCUGCACAUGAGUAACCACCAUCAGCGUUGGCCCUGGUAUCCUUCUUAUCACAUUGGCAGCCAUGCCGGGUGGCUCAUUCCAUGGGCCAGAAGACUAUUCAAUUUCACAAUUUUUGGACAUCCAUAUUUCUCCUCGUGCAGGCUGCUGAUGAGCUGGUUGCUGAUGGGCUGGUCCUGGGGCUGGCUAAGGGUCAAUCUUAUCCUCCUGAUCCUCAUAUUUGGGAAAAUUCUUCAUCUUCCAAAGUGGAAGAUGCUCCUUCCACACUAGCUUCUCUCUCUUUCUAAGGCCCUCUGAGCAGAGAUUAUUUUUGCCAAAUUGAUUGAUUGUGGUAAGGAGCCACACAUUUUGCACCUGGCUGGGGUAGAGUGUGGGAAAAUACUGAAUUUUUUACAAUGUAUCGAAAUAAAGUAUCGAAAUAACAUUGUGCAGGUUCGCGCAAGAUAUUGUGUAGUUUCACACACUACAAAGGGUAAAGAGUGUGAGAAAAGCAGGAGACAGACAGGUUAUUGGUGCUAUGUUGAAACAGAAGGCCCAGGGAGGAGGAAGACAGAGUGAAGACACACAGCAAACCUUUUUGUUUCAUUUUGACUUGUUUUCAGCUAUACACACACUUUUCCACACUUUUAUUACCCUUGGGUCCAGUGGACCCGAACACCACAUAUGUAAUAAAAACGUGUAGGAAGGUGCACAGUGUGCACUCAAUGAAAAUGUGUUAUAUUACAUGUUCUUCACAGAAAAUGAGUCAAGGCCAAUGAGUCUCAAGUUGAAAAAAGUAUUAAUUGUAUAAUUUUUUCUGUUAGUCAACAUGAAAAUGGGUCCCUCAGAUCCAAAAACCACACAAGGGUUAAGUGCAUUUAUUUUUGAUACUUAAGUGUUUUAAAACCAAAUACUCCUAGACUCUUUUAAUCAAGUAGAAUUUUACUGGGUGACUUUCACUUGAGUCAUUUUCCAUUAAGGUAUCUUUACUUUUUCUCAAGUAUGACAAUUGGGUACUUUUUCCACCACUGCAGUACAUUAAUACAGUUCACACUCAAAAACAUUAGCCUACUGGAGCUAGUUUCUUGUAUUUACCCAAGUGAGCAUGUAGCUAGCUACACCUAUGGGCUUUUAUAUUGUUCUGUUCUGUUGUGUGUAAUGUGCAGUAGCCUAGAUCAUAUAUAGAUCAUGUAUUGGAUAACGCCACAAUCAUUUGGGCUCUUUUGGGCUUGGGCUCAUUAAAUGUCUUUAUUGUAGGGCUCAUAAAAUGUAUUUCAUGUAUGGCUCAUCAGCCUCAGGUAGCAUCAGGCUUGAAUUUUCGAUCAAAGCUCUAAUCAAAUCCAGACACAGGCCUAUUUAUAUGCAUUAUAAUUCUUUUGAAUGACCCUUCCGGUUUUGGUGGGAAAUACCGGGUUGUCCGGAAGAAAAUUAAUUUAUUCUCUGGGUGGAACAUUUGUAAAAUGUUUAACCCUAGCGCUGAUGCCAAUGAAAGUGUAUGUUAUAAAAUGGGUAAUUUGGAUAUUGGAUGCUGAUUGGUUGAUAUGCGUUAUUCACGAUUAUUAAUUUGAAUUAUUAAACAUUUUAAUUAUCACUGUGCAUCCACUGUCCCACAGCCCAGCCAGGCAAUUCAUAAACUUAUCUCCACUAAAAAACAUUUCCUAUUACUUCUAGCCUUUCAUUUGAUUUUCACAAGCGGGGGUUUGUAUAAGCCUUGCUGUCUGCCUCUCCAAUCUGUGCAACAAUGUUGCAAUAGAAAUCAAAUCAACAUUUAUUGCCAUAGUUGAAGUUGUUUGUAGAGCCGUCAACAUGAGGGGUGUUGUACAAAACAAUAUCAUCACUGAUUGGAUCAUCUCUAACCAAUCAGAGUAUCAAAACGCUGCUUUACCCAAGUGUUCUGGCUCUGGCCCAACCCAUCAGUUUCUGGGACAAAUCAGAACGGUUAGAAUGCGUUUGCGUUCUAGAAAUCGUCAAGGAGGUACUCAGAUCCAGCCUCAUUGCAGAGAAGAAACAUAUUGUCCGUUGGUGUGGCAUAGCGUUUGGCUAUGAGUUUGAUUAGCAAGCCAACCUUAGCAGUGGUUUAUUCACAAUAAUCCAAUGGUUCUCAUGCCUUAUUGCUUAAAUAACCUUCUCUGUCAGUUUGUAUACUUCUGUUUGUGAAGUAAGGGAAUACAUUUUAAGUUCUGAUAAUUGAUGACUGUGUUGAGAAACUUUUACUAGCAUUAGGCUUAGACACUUAAAUAGAAACUGCAAUUCGAUUUUCAGUAUGUUACCUAAAUUCUGAAAUAUUUCAAUAUUGCUUGUGUUUCACCAUCAGAUUAUGCUUUAUUUCUGAGAAAUGGGAUCAUUCAACACAAUGUAUUAGAUAAUGGUAAACCACAGGAUCAUGUAUGUAUUAGAUAAUGGUAAGUCCCAAGGUCAUGUAUGUAUUAGUAUUAUAUAAUGGUAAGCCCCAGGAUCAUAUAUGUACUACUUUAAUUCUGUAUAAAAUCAUAGUAAUAAUAAUAAAAAAUGAUUGUUAAGAUUGACACGGACCUGUUAAAUAUUUGGACUCUUAUGUACAAUUGCAGUAAAUUGAAGUUGAGGGGUGGUCUGUUUAUAUUGGUCCAUUAUUCCUUGCUUUAUACAGGUAGACCCUCAUGUUUUAGGCCGAAUUUCGAUCUGAUCCGCACUAGAUCUGCGUUAUAGCUAGCUUGAGUCGACAUUUAAAGGUAAUACCUGAUUGAUCCGGCAUCUGCAGCAUUUACUGUGAGUGCAAUCUCUGCAAAAGCGGGAACAUUGUCUUUAAAAGCGGCAAUAUCUACAUGAGCAAUCAGAUUGAAUCCUGGUCUUAGUGUCUUAAUGCAGAAAGAACAUUAUAUUAAAGGAAUCAUCAAUACAAUUGGACUGAUUAAUGGUUUUGCCAUUUAUUGUGAUGAUUCUGAUCUGUUCGUUAUUGCUUUGAUGUCUUGUAUCCUAUGCAAAUGUCAUGAAGGUGUACGAUUACUUUAAUAAUACAAAAUAAUGGAAAUAUAGCAAGUACCCUUUUGGAGCAGACCUCACAAAACACGUAUUAUGCAAAAACUUAAGAAGCUUCUUAAAGGAAAGGUUAACUCAUUUUGAAUGUUUUCUCGUGUAUUUGAAUUGUUGGCGGUCAAGCACGCAGAAAUCCGGCAGGAUGUGAUCAAGUCGCU
This 3764-nucleotide long non-coding RNA is filed under the name Salmo salar (Atlantic salmon). Its description in RNAcentral is "lncRNA (ENSSSAG00000111344.1)". The record is from RNAcentral. Lineage: Eukaryota; Metazoa; Chordata; Actinopteri; Salmoniformes; Salmonidae.